AAAAAGGGUCUGACGACUGCCCAAACCACACCGGUGAACCAUUUUUCUUAUUGAUGCUCUGGCAGGCCGCCCGCUGGGGGGGCUCAGGCCGCGGUUUCGCGGUGGUCUGCCGGUGGCUCGCAAACCAAAACUCUUUUGAACGUCUCUCUGAGAACAUCUAACUCCUCUUAGCGGGAGAAAAAAAAAAGUCA
RNAcentral lists this unclassified non-coding RNA (191 nucleotides) under soil metagenome. Its description in RNAcentral is "partial internal transcribed spacer 1". The record is from RNAcentral.